GACAAUCUUUUUUAAUAAUAUCGAUAUCCAACGAUUUUAAAGACACAUCUUUACUUUUUUCUUGAAAAGUGUGUGAAUACUUAAUCGUCUGAGAGAAAUAUUUUCUGAAUUAAUUCUAAUUAAGAAAAAGGAAUUUACUAUCCAACUUUUGUGACUAUGGACGCUGAAGUCGAAGGCAGCGUUGAAAAUAAUGUACAAUCUGGCGACGAAGCGGCUUCACCUUCAAUAGAUGGUGAAACAACAUAUAAAGGUGUUGCGACUGGGCCUCCUCAAGAAAACAAUGCAACCCCCAAUAUAAAUGGAAAUACGGGACAAGCAACGCCAGAACCAAGCGAAGGUGAAUCUCAAUGGACUCCAAACAAUCAAGGACCUCCCGCUGCUAAGCCUUUUAGUAUGCCGCCAUUCGGUGGACCACCAGGAGCCUUUCGUGGUGGACGUGGUGGUAUUCAUAUAAUGCCUUUUGGUCGCGGUGGUGCUCGAGGUGGUGGCGGCAAUUUUGGUGGACGCGGACCGGGAAAUUUUGAUCCAAAUUGGCAAGGACAAAAUCAAAAUGGCCCACCAAACAUGACAAACGGUCCACCACUCGAACUGUGGGUGGAGACAAAGACAGAUGAUGGCAAAUCUUAUUUUUAUCAUGCUAUGACUCGUGAAACAACAUGGACUAGACCAGAAGGGCAAAAUAUUAAAGUUAUGACUCAAGCGGAAAUUGAGGAAAUGAAUAAAAAACAGCAACCACCUCAGCAGCAAACGCAACAAAAUAACACACAGCAUACGGAUGCAAAUGCUAAAGGGCCAGAAUCUGUGGGUCACGCUCAAGGUGGCAUCAUGGACGCGCAAAAGGAGUUACCUCCCAUGUCUGUGGCACCACCCAUGAAAGCACCAGAUACUUUGACACAACAUCCACCACCAAAUAUGAUGUCACAACCACCGCCCACACAACAGACCUUAACGCAACCACCGCCAAAUGUAGUACCCAGCGGUGCGCCACCAAUGACACAACAGCCUCCACCCGCAAUGCACCAACAGCCGCCUCCAUUCUUUCCACCUGGUAUGCAUCCACCAAAUUUCUCGCAACCUCCUUUUGGUAUGCCUCCACCUGGUUAUGGUGGUUUUCCAGGUGGACCAGCGCCUUGGGGUAUGCCCUGGAAUCAGCAUAUGCAUCCUCCACAUGGUCCGCCGGCGCAAGACAAGCCAGCAAAGAAUUUAAUUAUCAAGCCUGGAGUAAUUGACCCUGCCGUAAUUGCACGCGCUGCUGAAUGGUCCGAACAUCGUGCACCUGAUGGACGUCCCUACUACUAUCAUGCCGGUCGUGGCGAAAGCGUUUGGGAGAAACCACAAGCCUUACGCGACAUGGAAGCGGCACGCAUGGCUGCUCAUUCGGGCACAACACCACAACAGGCAGUGGCGCCGCAGGUCGCACCCACCAUGCCACCACACAUGAUGCCCAAUCCUGCCCUUAUGCACAUGACGCCGGUAGCCGGCGGUUAUGAACAAGCGAUGGCUUAUAAUGCUGCUGCUGCCGCAGCCGCCGCCGCUGCUGCAGCUGCUGCUAAUAUUAAGCCCAUCGAACAAACCAAAGCGGCACAAGCUGCGGCAUUGGAAAAAGAGUCAAAGAAGGUGGCAGAGGAAAAACGAAAGAAAGAGGAAGAGCAACAAAAGAAAGUCACAGCAACGGCAGCAAAACCAAUAGAUAAAUCACGUCCUAUUUCCAGUACACCCAUCGCUGGCACACCAUGGUGUGUCGUUUGGACAGGUGACGCGAGGGUUUUUUUCUACAAUCCUUCCACACGCACAUCUGUUUGGGAAAGACCCGACGAUUUGAUAGACCGUGCUGACGUAGACAAAGCAGUCAACAAUCCGCCGGAACAGUUGAAGGCAGCUGGCAAUAUCGCUGUGGAAAAACCGGUCGAAAAGAUUGAGACAGAGAAGAAAAAAGAGGUUGACAUUCCCGAGGAAGAGGAAGAAGAAGAGCAAGAAGAUGAUGAAGUCAUCAAAAUACGCACUGAAUCUGAAUCCAGCGUGGAAGAAGUACCAACAAAGAAGUCACGAUUAUCCGCAAAGCAAACCAGAAAGGCGGAUGCCAACGAAGCAGCUGUAGAAGCCGAGGUACGCGCUGCUAAGGAGCGCGCUGUAGUGCCAUUGGAGACUCGUGUCAAACAGUUCAAGGAAAUGUUGCGGGAAAAAGAUGUAUCAGCAUUCAGUACUUGGGAGAAAGAGCUGCACAAAAUUGUUUUUGAUCCACGUUAUUUGCUGCUAACAUCCAAGGAGCGCAAACAGGUAUUUGAAAAGUAUGUUAAAGAUCGUGCUGAAGAGGAACGCAAGGAGAAGCGCAAUAAGAUGCGACAAAAGCGCGAAGAUUUUCGCAAGCUUAUGGAAGAUGCAAAGAUGCAUGGAAAGUCGUCAUUCAGUGACUUCUGUCAGCGUUAUGGCAAAGAUGACCGCUAUAAAGCUAUCGAAAAGGUGCGCGAACGUGAGAGCCUCUUCAACGAGUAUAUUGUAGAUGUGCGGCGUCAAGAAAAAGAGGAGAAAAUACAAAAAAAGGAACAGUUAAUUGCAACCAAUCAUGUGAUUAUAGGUGAGCCGCUUGAAGUGUGUUUAAAUCCAAUACAAUUUUGCUUAGCCGCGUAAAAGUUGGUUGACCUAGAAAAAAGCAAAAUUGCUAAAUACCGUUUUUAGGCUGCAGUAUAAACGUAAGGAAAACGCAGCAAAUUAAUAUGUUGUGCAGCGUAACGUGUGACUGAUUGAUGAUUCAUGGUCAUGGAGCUGCCAACGACCGCAUCAAAUUGCAUUGAUCCGCCAUGCCAUGCAGCCAUGUCCAUCCUGCUACUACCACCCAUCAACCCAGUGACUUGCCUGUUCGUUAGUACCUUCACGCCUGCUCGGCACGUUUUCCCCAAAUUGUUUGUGUCUAUCUAGCUCGAGCUCGUGAUCAACGUUGACUUCAUUAAACAAUCAGCAAACAAACGCAAUUUAUUGUAUAUCAACGAUAAAACUUGGUGAUUUACCCUUCUGCCACCAGGAACGUCGACACUUCGGCACGUCACAUGUACAUAUUGAAGCUAUUUGGCUGCGCACAGACAAACGGUGUAUAUUGAUGGAUGGAAAAUAACACAAUGGACACAAAGAAGACGUUACGGCAUUAGACAGAAGACAAGACAUGCCAAACUCCCAACAGCUGGCAGUUUAGUUAAUGUUGGCGCUCGAGUCUCCAGUCUCUGGUCUCUGAGUGUGGCAGAGCUUGAACUAGAGCGGGAGUGGAAAUUGAGCGAGAAGAGACAGAAACAGUAUGAAUAAAAACUCAAUCUAAACUUCAUACAUUUAGAAUUUUUGUUACAGCCGCAAGUGCAAUAAGCAUUUCAAAAUUCGAUAUUUCACAUUCGUCACGACAAUGGUGAAUACUUUGAAUCUACAUAUGUAUAUUUUUAAUAGAUUGUCUUUUUUUUUUGUUGUUUGCUAGUAAAUCAUCAUCUAUGGCACGUGCACUUACGCACGUGACACAUGUCAGCAUUUCGAAAAUGUCAAACGAAUGUGAAAUAUUGAUUUUUACUGUUGGGCUUUACUUGUAAGUUCAUAAAGUAAAGCAUUCAAUACAUUAUCUAUAUGUAUUCUUAUUAUAUAACACACGUACAUUUAAUUGUUGUCCGUCCGUCCGUCAAUGAAGUGCUCAUACACGUUGCCUCUCUAAUUUAUGCAAAUAAAUUUUCAAAUUUUCAGCUCUACACUGUUGGAUUCUCAUAAUUAAGUCAUCAAUAAAUUUCUCUUUCAGCAUUCGACGCCACUUAAUUAUAAUACUAAUCUUGAAACGUUCUCUUGCAGCAUAAUUAAGUAUAAUUAUUAUUUAAGUUAUUCUUGUAGACGAUUAAGUUAGUUAGUAAGCGUCAUCUAUAAGCCCCUGUUAUGUGCGUUUAAACGUAUCGAGUAAGCUAAAACGAAAGCCAAUAUCUGAAAUCGUCUAAUUCCCCACAUUUAUUUUCUCUCUUUGUAUCUUCCUUGACUGCACUUGCUACACACACCCAAAUGCACAUCCCCAAAACACACACUACGUACCUCUAACAAAUUUUAGAUACGCAAAGAUUUCAUAGAAAUGUUGCGCGAACGUUCGGAUAUGGACCGGCAUACACGUUGGCAUGACAUCAAGAAGAAAUUCGAUGCCGAUCCACGUUAUCGUGCUGUGGAGAGUUCUAUUUAUCGCGAAGAAUACUUUCAGGACUAUAUGCGUAUCAUGAAAGAAGAGAAGCGUAAGCAGCGUGAACUAAAAGAUCGUGAGCGGGAGCGUGAGCGUGAGAAGGAGCGCGAACGGGAGCGUGAACGUGAAAGGGAACGGGAUCGUGAACGUAAGUCAGACCGCAAACGUGGACGCAGCGAUCGUAGCCGCAGCCGCAGUCGAGAACGCGAACGUGAACGCAGUGACAAGGACAAAGGUAAAGAGCGUGAGAAGGACCGGGAGCGUGAGAAGGAUAAGGAGCGUGAGAAAGACAAAGAAAGGGAUAGAGAGCGAGAGCGAGAGAAGGAUAAAGAUAAGGAGAAGAAUGGCGAACAGAAAAAGAAGCACGAUGAAUCGGAUGAGGAGGGCGAGCAUCAUGACGACGACGAGGGUCACACCAAUAGCGAGGAUGAUGAAGCGGAGCGUCUACAAAAGGAGCGUGAAAAACAAUUGCGUGCCGAGCAAAGUAUACGCGAACGUGAAAAAGAGGUUCAACGCACAUUGGCCGGACAUUUGCGCGAUCGUGAUAAGGAGCGAGAGCACCACAAACGCGAUGAAGCCAUUGGUCAUUUCAAUGCGUUGCUAACAGACUUGGUACGCAAUCCAGAUCUGACAUGGAAGGAGGUGAAACGGCAACUACGUAAGGAUAGCCGCUGGGAACUAAUUGAGUCACUGGAUCGAGAUGAUCGUGAAAAACUUUUCAACGAACACAUCGAUACACUAAUGAAGAGAAAACGUGAAAAGUUCCGUGAAAUGCUCGAUGAAUUGUCAGCGCUGGAGCUGACCAGUUCUUGGAAGGAUAUUAAGAAAUCCAUUAAAGAUGAUCCACGUUAUCUGAAAUAUAACAAUUCCGAUAAAUGUGAACGCGAAUUUCGUGAUUAUAUUAAAGACAAAACUCUCGCCGCCAAGACUGCGUUGCGUGAGCUUUUACAGGAGUGUAAGCUAAUAACACACAAGAGCAGCGAAGUUGUUAAAGACAACCCAAAUCAUUUGAAGGAAAUACAGGAUAUACUGAAGAACGACAAACGCUAUCUAAUCUUGAACCACAUGGAAGAGGAGCGCACCACUAUAAUUGUUAAUUAUUUAGAAGAGUUGCAUAAACGUGGUCCGCCGCCGCCGCCAACUGCUUCUGAAUCAACUAGACGCAAUAAGUAAUUUAUCAUCCCACAUUCUAAGAAAAAACACCAAUAACUUGUGGCAAGAUAACAUUUUUAUGCGAUGUUAUGGUCACCGGAAUGCAUAAUAAAAAAAUUGCAUUAAUUAGCAACUAAUUUUUAUCAACUAAUCGAUUCAGUUUAACUUAUCCUUUAUAUAUGUAUUAAUCCUGUAGUUUCAGUGAUAAAAUUGUGAAAUAAACACGAAUACAAUUAA
This is a non-coding RNA of Bactrocera oleae (olive fruit fly), 5575 nucleotides long. The record is from RefSeq and is a predicted model, not a curated record. Lineage: Eukaryota; Metazoa; Arthropoda; Insecta; Diptera; Tephritidae.